Molecule: ribosomal RNA, 484 nt
Filed under: uncultured bacterium
Lineage: Bacteria
Description: bacterial SSU rRNA
Rfam family: Bacterial small subunit ribosomal RNA
Source: RNAcentral
AACGAACGCUGGCGGCGUGCCUAACACAUGCAAGUCGAACGUGAAAGUCCUUCGGGAUGAGUAAAGUAGGCGCACGGGUGAGUAACACGUAGGUGACCUGCCGUUUAGAGGGGGAGUAACCAGAAGAAAUUUUAGGCUAAUACCGCAUACGAAGUACAAAACUUAGAGUAGUACUUGAAAGAAUGCCUCUGUAUAUGCAUUCACUAAACGAUGGGCCUGCGGGACAUUAGCUAGUUGGUGGGGUAAAGGCCUACCAAGGCAACGAUGUCUAGCCGGUCUGAGAGGAUGAUCGGCCACACUGGAACUGAGACACGGUCCAGACUCCUACGGGAGGCAGCAGUGGGGAAUAUUGCGCAAUGGGGGAAACCCUGACGCAGCAACGCCGCGUGAGUGAGGAAGGACUUCGGUCUGUAAAGCUCUGUAAUGUGGAAAAUGGUUAGUGGUCUAAUAGGCCAUUGAUUUGAUGGUACACAUAGAGGAAGCA